This 84-nucleotide transfer RNA is filed under the name Mus musculus (house mouse). The record is from Rfam by way of RNAcentral. Lineage: Eukaryota; Metazoa; Chordata; Mammalia; Rodentia; Muridae.
GGCUCUGUAGCUUAGUAGUUAGAGCACUGGUCUUAUAAACCAAGAACUACUGCAAUGCAUUUCACAAGAGAUGAGAUGAAGCCA